UCAGCUGGCUUCAGCCCUGUGCCCUGCGUCAUCUAUACAUUUGUUUCGAUAAUCUGCAGUUUGUCUUAAAAACAAAGUUUGUAAUAAAAUUUGUACGAAAUA
Long non-coding RNA from Bombyx mandarina (wild silkworm), 102 nucleotides. NCBI's taxonomy places the organism in Eukaryota, Metazoa, Arthropoda, Insecta, Lepidoptera, Bombycidae. The record is from RefSeq and is a predicted model, not a curated record.